GCCCAAUAUGGACAUUUUAACAAUGCUAAUUCUUCCAGUCCAUAAACAUGAAUUCCUUUCCAUUUGUUUGUGUCUUCUUCAACUUCUUUCAACGUCUUACAGUGUUCAGCAUACAGGUCUUUCACCUCCUAGGUUAAGUUUAUUCCUAGCUAUUUUAUUCUUUUUGUUGCAAUUGUAAAUGAAAUUGUUUUCUCAAUUUCUGUUUCUACUAGCUCACUGUCAAUGUAUAGAGACACAACAGAUCUCUGUGCCCUGUCACUUUACUGUAUUUGUUUUCUUUUAAUAUUCAUUUAUUUAUUGGGCUGUGUCGGGUCUUAGUUGCAGCACGGGGGAUCUUUGUUGUGGCAUGCAGGAUCUUUUGUUGCGGCACAUGGGCUUCCCUCUAGUUGUGGCGCGUGGGCUCUAGAGUGCGCAGGCUUAGUUGCCCUGCAGCAUGUGGGAUCUUAGUUCCCCAACCAGGGAUUGAACCUGCGUCCCCUGCAUUAGAAGGAGGAUUCUUAACCACUGGACCACCAGGGAAGUCCCUGUAUUUGUUUAUUAUUUGUUUUAUCUGGAUUUACUAAUUUUUCUAUACCAAAAAUUACAUAAUUGUGUAAUAAAAUAUCCUGCAAAGGGAAGUUAAAUAAAAUAAAUAGAGAAAAAAAGGAAGGAAGGAGAGAAGGAUGAUAAGAGGAAAAAAGGAGAAAGGGAGGGAGGAUGGAAAGGAAACUAUUUUUAUCCAUUAUACAACUGAUAGGCCUUUCAGUUCUGGGCAAUUUUCUUGAAUUAUUUCUUUGCUAGUUCUUUGAUUUAUUUGCUAAUUCUUUGACAGAUAGUUUGAUAGUUCCCUCAGCUUUCUCUUUCUGGAACUCUUAUUAUUUGGAUAUCAGACCACCUAAGCCAGACUAUAUCUUUUGUCUUCUAUUUUCCAUCUUUGCCUUUUUUGCUCCACUUUGUAGAAGAUUGCCUCAAUUUUGUCUUCCAGCUACUCUAUGGAGUAUUUCAUUUCUGCUAUCACAUUUUUAAUUCCCAACGCUUCUGUUUGUUCUUUAAAUGUUCUUUUUCCCCAAUAUUUUGCUGUGAGAAGUUUCCAAACAUAUAGAAAAGUUGAAAGAAUUUUAUGAUAAACAUAACCAUCACUUGGAUUCAAUGUUCUUUUUCUAGCUUGUUUCAUGGUUGUAAUAUCUCUCUUAAUUCAUAGAGAAUGUUAGUAUUUUAGGAUUUGGGGGAUAUUUUUCUUCUCCCUGCAUGGUUUUUGCUCCUCUGACUUACUUGUUUCCAGGCUAUUUGAACUCUAUUUUUCAUGUUAGAGACUUUCCUCAAAUGUCUGAUGAUCUAGGGUCAUCUGUUCUACUUUAAGAGUGGGCCCCCCGAUGAGAUACAAUAGGAAGUACAUCCCCACCUAGUAGUUUCCCUGCCAAAAAUCAAAUCUCAAUCUGAACAAGAUUCUAGAGCUAACCAAGAGUUCAUAUAGAAUACAAAAGUUGAGAAAAUUAUUACAUGACUUCUACAAUCCAGAAUAUGGGAAAUGCUACAGGAUGAAAUAUCUAAUUUCUUCAACAAAUAAGCUGUAAGGUUUUUAUUUUUGUUUUGUUUUAUUUUUUAAAGAGGGUGGGCACCAACAGAUUGAAAGUAUACAGGUAUGGAAGAAAUAAGAUUGGCUGUAUGUUUGAUAAUUGUUGGAGCUGAGUAGCAGGUACAUGGAAAUCAUACCAUUCUCUCUACUUUCACAUACACUUGGAAUCUAUUUAAAAAAGAAUGGGGACUUCCCUGGUGGUCCAGUGGUAAAGAAUCUGCCUUCCAAUGCAGGGAAUGGGGGUUUGAUCCCUGGUCAGAGAACUAGGAUCCCACAUGCCACGGGGCAACUAAGCCCACACGCUACAACUACUGAGUCCGCACACCACAGCUACUGAGCUCACGCGCCUCAACAAGAGAGCCCAUGAGAUGCAAACUACAGAGCCCAUGCGCUCUGGAGCCCAUGCGCCACAAUUAGAGAGAGAAAAACCCACACACCACAACUAGAGAGAAGCCUGCGCACCGCGGUGAAAGGUCCCGCAUGCUUAAAUGAAGAUCCCAUGUGCCACAAGUAAGACCCAACAUAGCCAAAUAAAUAGAUAAAUAAAUAAAUAAAUAUUUUUUAAAAAUGACUGGGGCACUAAAAAGCUCUGAGCUUGUGGUGGGGUAGUCUCUGUGAGCUUCAGUAGUUCUGGCUGGGCCGUUUCCCUAGAGAAACCCCAGAUGUCUGUAAGUUUCCCCAAGCAGGGCUUCCCUGGUGGCACAGUGGUUAAGAAUCUGCCUGUCAAUGCAGGGGACAAGGGUUCCAGCCCUGGUCAAGGAAGAUCCCACAUGCUGCAGAGCAACUAAGCCCUUGUGCCACAACUACUGAGCCUGUGCUCUAGAGCCCACGAGCCACAACUACUGAGCCCGUGCACCACAACUACUGAAGCCCGUGCUCCUAGAGCCCGUGCUCUGCAACAAGAGAAGCCACCGCAAUGAGAAGCCCGCGCACCUCAAUGAAGAGGAGCCCCCGCUCCCCACAACUAGAGAAAGCUACACGCAGCAACAAAGACCCAACGCAGCCAAAAACUAAAUUAAUUAAAAAAAAAAAAAUUUCCCCAAGCAGGCCCUCCAGACCUCCCACUUGAAGGGUGUAACCCUGGCUGCCAGUUAUCUGGAAAGUGGUAGGGCGAGAAAUCUGGGGUUUUCAACAUUUACUGUGUAAACUUUCACUUAAGCCUGCAGCAGGUUAUCCUUUCCUCCAGUGGGCUGGUGUCCCCCAGACCAGAGAUUCUCUAUUUUACCCUGUCCACUUUGCUGCCAGGGUUAGAGGCAGGCGGGGGCAUAGAUGGCUACAUUGGGUGGUGGAGAGGGUGAGGGUGUAACUGCUUCCUAUAUUGAUUCUCUAAUAAUUCCUCUUAUUUUUUUAACUGUUUAUUUUGAAACAAUUAUAGAUGUACAGGAAGUCAUAAAAAGGUAUGGUGAGGUCCCCUGUACCCUUCACUGUUUCCCUCAAUGAUUACAUCUUAUAUAAUUAUACCACACUACUUAAACUGGGAAAUUAACAUUGGUACAACGUGUGUAAAUAGUUCUGUGACAUUUUAUCACAUAGAUUCAUGUAGCCACCGCUAUAAUCAAGAUACAGAACCAUUCCACCACCACAAACAUCUCUAUUAAGCCACGAUGUUAUGGUCACAUCCACCCCCCCUAACCCUAGCAAACCACUGAUCUGUUUUCCAUUUUCUAUGAUUUUUUCAUUUUGGAAAUGUUAUAUAAAUGGAACCAUAUAGUUUGUAUUUUUUGAGAUUUUUUUUCACUCAGCAUAAUGCUUUAACAUCCAUCCAAAUUGUUGCAGGUAUCAGUAGUUCAUUCCGUAUUAUCACUGAGUAAUAGUCCAUGCUAUAGAUGUACCACAGUUUGUUUAACCAUUCACUUACUGAAGGACAUAUUGGUUCUUUCCAAUUUUUAGCUACUACAAAUAAAGCCACUAUGAACAGUCUCAUAAAGGUUUUGUGUGGAUAUAAGUUUUCAUUUCUCUAGGAUAAAUACCCAGGAGUGUGAUUGCUGGGUCAUAUGGUAAGUGUAUGUUCAUUUUUUUAAGAACAGAUUUAUUGAGAUAUAAUUCACAUACCAUAUAAUUCACCUAUUCAAAGUGUACAAUUUAGGGACAUCCCUGGUGGUCCAGUGGUUAAGAGUCCAUCUUGCAACGCAGGGGACACCAGUCAAUCUCUGGUCGGGAAACUAAGAUCUCGCAUGCCGCAACUACUGAGCCCACAUGCUCUGGAGCCGGCGCACCACAACUAAGACCCGACGCAGCCAAUAAAUAAAUAAAUAUUUAAACAUAAAUAAAUAAAGGGUACAAUUUAAUAUUUUUUUCGUAUAUUUAGAAGGUAUGAAUAAACCAUCACCACAAUCUAAUUUUAGAACAUUUUGUCCCCCCAAAAGAAACUCUAUAUCCAUGAACAGUUAAUCCUCACUCCUCCCAAUUCCAGUUGUUGUUUGUUUGUUUUUAAGAAUCUGCCAAACUAUUUUCCAGAAUGCCUGUGCCAUUUGACAUUCUCACCGACAAUACAUGACAGAUCUAAUUUCUCUGCAUCCAAGAAUUCAAGCAUUUGGUGUUGUCAAUAUGUUUCUAUUUUCUAUUUUCAAUAUGUUUCAAUAUGUUCUAAUAGAUAUAUAGGGAUAGCUCAUGGUGGCUUUAGUUUGCAUUUCCUUAAUGGCUAGUGAUGUUUCACAACUCUUCAUGUGUUUAUUUGCCUCCAGUGAAAUGUUUUUUAAUGUUUCCAUAUGUUUUUUAAAGCUUCUAGAUGGGUCCAUGAAGUCUCUGAGAAGCAGAGGCCCCUUCUACCCUACCCUUGACUCACAUUGAAUUGAGACAUGAGGGAGAAAUAAACCUUUAUUGUGUUGAUUAAGACUGCUGUUUCCUGGGCUUCCCUGGUGGCGCAGGGGUUGAGAGUCCGCCUGCCGAUGCAGGGGACGCGGGUCCGUGCCCCGGUCCGGGAAGAUCCCACGUGCCGCGGAGCGGCUGGGCCCGUGAGCCAUGGCCGCUGAGCCUGCGCGUCCGGAGCCUGUGCUCCGCAACGGGAGAGGCCACAACAGUGAGAGGCCCGCGAACCGGGGGAAAAAAAAAAAAAAAAAGACUGCUGUUUCCACUUUGACUUACCCUCCUUCACAUUUCCCCUUGUGUUAGAUGGCACUGGAAUGGCCACAGGCAUUCUUGGAAUCCAGCUAAGGGGAAGUUUACUUGGGGAUACGCUCUGUUUGGGAUCUAUUCACAUGGUUUACAGUCACUUCCAUGCAUAGUUGACCUAUUACAGCUAUUACCUGACGCCCAGAUGAAGGACUAGCUCCAGGAAUCUCUUAUCUGCCCACCGGGCUGACUCACCUGAAGUUGUGACCUGAAGGUGCAAGGCCAGAGUUCAAAUCAAGGUCUAAAUGUGUCCUUCUGCACCUGGCACCAGAAUUGUAUGGGAGUAGAAGAAAAUCAAGUUUUGAAAAUAUAUGAAGCUGAAGUCAGACAGAGAAAGGCAAAUAUCAUAUAUCGCUUAUACGUGGAAUCUACAAAAAUGGUACAAAUGAACCUAAACAAAACAGAAAUAGAGUCACAGAUGUAGAAAACAAACAAAUUUAUGGUUACCAAGAGGGAAAGGCGGGGGAGGGAUAAAUUGGGAGAUUGGGAUUAACAUAUACACACUACUAUAUAUAUAAUAGAUAACUAAUAAGAACCUACUGUAUAGCACAGGGAACUCUACUCAGUACUCUGUAAUGACCUAUAUGGGAAUAGACUCUAAAAAGAGUGGAUAUAUGUAUUUGUAUAACUGAUUCACUUUGCUGUACACCUGAAACUAACGUUGUAAAUCAACUAUACUCCAAUAAAAAUUAAUUUUAAAAAAAGAAUAUA
Molecule: long non-coding RNA, 5377 nt
Organism: Globicephala melas (long-finned pilot whale)
Lineage: Eukaryota; Metazoa; Chordata; Mammalia; Artiodactyla; Delphinidae
Source: RefSeq, a predicted model, not a curated record